CGCGGAUCCUGACCUCGACCAGGCAUCUCCGCCUCGCUCCCUACGGCGUUCGCUGCGGGCUCAGCGACUCGGUUUAUCUGGAAAUAUUCUACCUAGGAGUCAGCUAAGCACUUCCUAUGGUACCCUUGAAUGUAAGACUCGCUGGCCACCGGAGCCAGGAGAGCAGGUGGCAUCUUCUGGGCAGAAGCUGCAAAAACCAGGCAUGAGACAUGCACACGAGCUCCUUUCCGGGAAAUACCAGUGACCUGGGGUGAGGAAGCCUGUCCCCCACACUUCUAAGCUGAGUGGCCUGCACUGGUAAGAAAACUAUUGUGGGGAAGAUUUCAAGCAAUCCUGAAGGCAAACAGCUGCAGCAGAGAGCUAAAUUCUGGUGAGAGUUUCAACAAACUUUCCUUAAGUCUGACAUCAGCGGAUCUUAUUGUAACUUGCUUAUUAGUUUGUGCCUUUCC
RNA transcript from Camelus dromedarius (Arabian camel), 449 nucleotides. RefSeq lists it as uncharacterized. The record is from RefSeq and is a predicted model, not a curated record. Lineage: Eukaryota; Metazoa; Chordata; Mammalia; Artiodactyla; Camelidae. The transcript has 3 exons.